CGAUUCCCAACUGGCGCUGCCCCUCCCCAGCAGCCUCUUUGUAUAUAGCUCUCAAUCUGAACACACCCCAUGAUUGGCACACAAAACAGAACUAGCCUGGGGCUCUUCAUACAGAGCUGCCAUUACCUGCCCCAGACACACCUUGAGAUUAGGAAGAAAAGAGGUUAGUUUGUAUGAGUGUACUGUAGCUGUAGAGCAGGAAUAUUAACCCUCCUCUCCCCUCUCCCCACCCUUCAUACUGUAUCUUCGCAAACAAAGAGUCCUUAAUACCGGACACAUCACCAACAGCCCCUUCCCAUGGACAGGCGGUGUCUGGCCAAGUGUCUGUCUGAAAAUAAAAUUAAAAAUGGUCAGUCAGCAAGUCUGAUGAAGUAUUGAUAUAGAGGCUGUAAUAGUAGGUCAGGUUCUGGAAAAGAACAGGCAAAGUGUAGGAAUAGUGCAAGGUCAGAAGGCAGGCGAAGGUCAGGACACAUACCAAGGUCGGGAGACAGGCGAAGGUCAGGACACAUACAAAGGUUCGGGAGACAGGUGAAGGUCAGGAAGUAGGCAACGGUCGGUCGGGAGACAGACGAAGGUCUAGAGACAGGCAAGAGUUUAACAAGGAAUUAAUGAUGAACAGGCACAAACAUGGAAGCUUUGCUUUAGAAUGUAAAUUAGUUUGAGUAGGGUCUUAAGCACCUUCUGUUCCCAUACAUCCAACUUGC
This is a non-coding RNA of Pelobates cultripes (western spadefoot toad), 704 nucleotides long. Lineage: Eukaryota; Metazoa; Chordata; Amphibia; Anura; Pelobatidae. The record is from the annotation of a GenBank genome assembly.